RNAcentral lists this ribosomal RNA (388 nucleotides) under uncultured bacterium. Its description in RNAcentral is "bacterial SSU rRNA". It matches the Rfam family "Bacterial small subunit ribosomal RNA", at positions 28 to 420 of the family's 1533-position model. The record is from RNAcentral.
GAUGAACGCUAGCGGCAGGCUUAACACAUGCAAGUCGAGGGGUAUGCUUCUUCGGAAGCAGAGACCGGCGCACGGGUGCGUAACGCGUAUGCAAUCUACCUUUUACAGAGGGAUAGCCCAGAGAAAUUUGGAUUAAUACCUCAUAGUAUUAUAGAAUGGCAUCAUUUUAUAAUUAAAGUCACAACGGUAAAAGAUGAGCAUGCGUCCCAUUAGCUAGUUGGAAGGUAACGGCUUACCAAGGCUACGAUGGGUAGGGGUCCUGAGAGGGAGAUCCCCACACUGGUACUGAGACACGGACCAGACUCCGUACGGGAGGCAGCAGUGAGGAAUAUUGGACAAUGGGCGCAAGCCUGAUCCAGCCAUGCCGCGUGCAGGAUGACGGUCCUAU